This 514-nucleotide ribosomal RNA is filed under the name uncultured bacterium. RNAcentral describes it as "bacterial SSU rRNA". It matches the Rfam family "Bacterial small subunit ribosomal RNA", at positions 26 to 518 of the family's 1533-position model. The record is from RNAcentral.
AGGACGAACGCUGGCGGCGUGCCUAACACAUGCAAGUCGAACGGGGAUUUGUUUCGGCAGAAUCCUAGUGGCGAACGGGUGAGUAACGCGUAGGCAACCUGCCCUCCGGCCGGGGACAACACUCCGAAAGGGGUGCUAAUACCGGAUACGAAGUCUGUGCCGCAUGGUACGGAUUUGAAAGAUGGCCUCUAUUUAUAAGCUAUCGCCGGGGGAUGGGCCUGCGUCCGAUUAGCUGGUUGGUGGGGUAACGGCCUACCAAGGCGACGAUCGGUAGCCGGUCUGAGAGGAUGAACGGCCACAUUGGGACUGAGACACGGCCCAGACUCCUACGGGAGGCAGCAGUGGGGAAUCUUCCGCAAUGGGCGCAAGCCUGACGGAGCAACGCCGCGUGAGUGAGGAAGUUCUUCGGAACGUAAAGCUCUGUUGUUCCUGACGAACCUCCCCUCUAUCAACAACGGAGGGGACUGACGGUAGGGAACGAGGAAGCCACGGCUAACUACGUGCCAGCCGCGGC